This 253-nucleotide ribosomal RNA is filed under the name uncultured bacterium. Its description in RNAcentral is "partial 16S ribosomal RNA". It matches the Rfam family "Bacterial small subunit ribosomal RNA", at positions 524 to 776 of the family's 1533-position model. The record is from RNAcentral.
UACGGAGGGUGCAAGCGUUAUCCGGAUUUACUGGGUUUAAAGGGUGCGUAGGUGGUCUAUUAAGUCAGUGCUGAAAUAUCCCGGCUUAACCGGGAGGGUGGCAUUGAUACUGAUAGACUUGAGUAGAGUUGAGGUAGGCGGAAUUGACGGUGUAGCGGUGAAAUGCUUAGAUAUCUGGAGGAACACCGGUGGCGAGGGCGGCAUCCUGGACCAAUACUGACGCUGAGGAGCGAAAGCCAGGGGAGCAAACGGG